GUCGGAAUGAUGGCGGCGUCACAGAGGCUUGAUGAGACCUGGUGGUGUUCUGUGCCGCUCUGCGUCCUGUUGGCAGCGAUGUGUUCACCUUGAGAAAUCCACCAACGUGUGCACCUAAGAUGUGAGCAUGUAAAGUGUUGUUCUGGGCGCCUGUGUUGUCCUGUAUCAACUCAGCCAAUCCCACAUCACCACUACAGAUUCUUGACUCUCUGAACCUGGAGCGGCUGGCUCACCAGCAGGGGAGCCUAGUCAGUCAGUGACUAGGCCAGCCUGAGCACGCGGUCUGUCCCAGGGCCUGUGCCAGGUGCUAGGAACUCCGGAAUGAAUGAAGCGGAUGAAGCCGACACAGUCCCUAGGCUUUGAAGAGUCUUUCUUGGGAGCUGUGUGGGCGGUAUUGCCUGGAGAUCAACCAUAAACAAAUAACAGGCAACAACGAUCCAGAAAGUGAUCUUAUCAGGAGGGAAGAAAACGCAGCAGUGUGAGCGUGUACCCGCGCGCGCGCCGUGUGCGCGGGGGCAUCUAAGGAGGAACCGCUUCGCGACGAGGCAGCCAUCAGCAGACCGCUUCCGCUCCGCCGACCCCGCCGCAGCCCGUGGCACACGCGCCUUCGCUGAACCAAGCCCCUCUCUUCCCACUGAGCUCGCGGUCCCCUAGUCCCCGCGGCAGAACCGUGACAGGGGCUGCCCGUCCUGGGGCCGCGCUGGGGCAUAGGCUCUCUCUCGGCUCCCGGGUGCCUCUCUGGCCGGUUCUUCCCCCAAGCAUCCUUUCCUGAGGCCGAAGCUGCAGGGAAAAGGAACCUGGCGUGGGGGAGGCAGGUCCCGCCUGGAGGCUUGCUCCCCAGCGACACUUCUUGGAUGUCGGGAGAGCCUGCAGGGGACCUGCAUCGGUGGAGAGGCCUCCUGAUGUUGGCGGCUGGUUCUGUCAGACCCGGGGAGUGAUUGGCUGGUCAAAGCCACCCAGGCCACCCUGCCCCUCUGUCGGGGCCUGGCUCUGGCUGGGGUGACCAGUGCCACUCCAGGAAAGACUGGCUGUUGGGAGAUUCUUCUGUUAUUCAGAGGGACAGUGGCCUUCUGUGGCCACUCCCUCCCUCUGGGCCGAAGGAGGUGGGCACGGUGGGUGUGAUGCUACUAGCCCAGGCCCGGCACCUCCACACCCACACAAGGAGAGACGUCCAACCUGCCCAGGCAGGCAGAUGGGAAGCACCUCCAUCCUUCACAGGACCAGACUCUCAGCCCUGAGUCCUCCCCAUGGGAAGCACGUGCUCUGAGCAGGCAGGCCAACCUCAGAGAGGAAAGGAGAGAGUCCCCACCCGAACUUCUACCGAGUGUCAUGCUGAUGCCUGUUUCUCCGAGGAAAGAGGAGGCUGGAGAGAGGAGGUUCCCCCAACCACCAGUGUCUGCCAGGGCAGGGCAGUGGGGAGGCCGCUGCUGUCUCCCUCACACUCAGGGCAGGUGGUGCUCUGCAUGUUGACCAGGCUGUGCUUCGGAGAUGGGCCUUGUCAACCAUCUCCACGGCUACUGCAAAGAUGUCCUCCCUUGUGGGGUUGCAGAGAGCUUCACAAAUUUGAUGGCAUUUUGGCUUUCUCCUGAGGUAUUCCCCCAAUAAACAACUUGCACCAGAA
Non-coding RNA from Odocoileus virginianus texanus, 1621 nucleotides. The record is from RefSeq and is a predicted model, not a curated record. Lineage: Eukaryota; Metazoa; Chordata; Mammalia; Artiodactyla; Cervidae.